UACGGAGGAUGCGAGCGUUAUCCGGAUUUAUUGGGUUUAAAGGGUGCGUAGGCGGACGCUUAAGUCAGCGGUAAAAUUGCGGGGCUCAACCUCGUCGAGCCGUUGAAACUGGGUGCCUUGAGUGGGCGAGAAGUACGCGGAAUGCGUGGUGUAGCGGUGAAAUGCAUAGAUAUAACGCAGAACUCCGAUUGCGAAGGCAGCGUACCGGCGCCCUACUGACGCUGAAGCACGAAGGCGUGGGUAUCGAACAGG
This 252-nucleotide ribosomal RNA is filed under the name uncultured bacterium. Its description in RNAcentral is "partial 16S ribosomal RNA". It matches the Rfam family "Bacterial small subunit ribosomal RNA", at positions 524 to 776 of the family's 1533-position model. The record is from RNAcentral.